Theobroma cacao (cacao) is the source of this 1390-nucleotide RNA transcript. RefSeq lists it as uncharacterized. Lineage: Eukaryota; Viridiplantae; Streptophyta; Magnoliopsida; Malvales; Malvaceae. The record is from RefSeq and is a predicted model, not a curated record.
GGUCAAAAAGAGAAAGUCACUCCCUCCAUCUCUCCCGCUUGAGAAAUCAAAACCCUAGAAAUCUAUCUUCCAUUUCCAUUCCCAUUCCCAUUCUCAUCGUCCUCUGCACUCCAAAAUCGCAACAAUGUCGAUGUCCAAGAGUUCCAAAAUGCUUCAGUUCAUCAACUACCGGAUGCGGGUCACCAUCCAAGACGGGCGCCAACUGGUCGGCAAAUUCAUGGCCUUCGACCGCCACAUGAAUCUCGUGCUCGGCGACUGCGAGGAGUUCCGCAAGCUUCCUCCUGCUAAAGGAAAGAAGAACUCGAACACCAACGAGGAACGCGAAGACCGUCGAACCCUUGGCCUUGUUCUUCUCCGUGGCGAAGAGGUUAUUUCCAUGACCGUCGAGGGUCCUCCUCCUCCUGAAGAGUCUCGUUCCAAGGCUGCUUCCGCUAAUGCUGUCCCUGGCCCUGGUGUUGGUCGUGCUGCUGGCCGUGGGAUCCCCACUGGGCCACUUGUUCAGGCCCAGCCUGGUCUUGCUGGCCCUGUUCGUGGUGUUGGAGGUCCUGCUCCCGGGAUGAUGCAGCCCCAGAUGUCUCGACCACCUGUUCCGCAGCUCUCCGCUCCUCCCAUGACUUACCCUCCUGCUGGUGGAGCUCCACCCGUGAUCCGUCCCCCUGGGCAAAUGCCACCUGGCGCUUACCCGGGACAACCGCAACCACCUCAGAUGCCACGUGGCCCACCUCCUCAGGUACCGCCUCCGGCUUUUGGAGUAAGACCUCCUCAGCAGUUCCCAGUGCCGCCACCUCAAUAUGGUCAGAGGCCGAUGGUUCCACCUCCAGGACCAAUGAUGAGAGGACCUCCAGCUCCACCGCCUCCACGGCCUGGAAUGCCUGCUCCACCUCCACCACGGCCUGGAAUGCCUCCUCCUCCUGGUGCUGUUCCUGUUUUUGGACCACCACGUCCAGGAAUGCCACCUCCACCAAAUCCUCAAAAUCAGCAGCAGAAUCAGCAGCAGUAGUGAUUUUGAUUUGGUUUAUUCUCCACUAUCGUUUGAAGUUUCAAAGACUAAGCAGGCAGGGGUUUGAUAGGGGUGCUGUGAUGGAUUUUGUCUGGAAUUUAAUGGCAGAGUUCUUACAAACUAGGCUUUAGAGCUUGUUUCUUGAGUAUCUGGCGGCGGCAGCAGCAGCUAGUGUAUAAUUUAUUAGUGAUUGGAUGAAUGGAAAAUUUCUGCCCCUUCUGUAGUUAGGUCGUUCUCAUGUUGUAGUUGCACAGUCUGUUUUGUGAGCAUAGUGUUCCUUUGCCAUGAAAAGGUUUAGCAUUAACUGACCAAUAGACAUUGAACCUCAAAAUUACUCUUAUUUCUUUUGUGAAUGUGCCUUUACCAUUUAAGACUAGAUUUCUUUCUUCA